RNAcentral lists this ribosomal RNA (604 nucleotides) under uncultured Clostridia bacterium. Its description in RNAcentral is "bacterial SSU rRNA". It matches the Rfam family "Bacterial small subunit ribosomal RNA", at positions 8 to 620 of the family's 1533-position model. The record is from RNAcentral. Lineage: Bacteria; Bacillati; Bacillota; Clostridia.
AGAGUUUGAUCCUGGCUCAGGACGAACGCUGGCGGCGUGCCUCAUACAUGCAAGUCGAGCGAAGGAUUCAGUAGCUUGCUACUGAAUGACUUAGCGGCGAACGGGUGAGUAACACGUGAGUAACCUGCCCUUCAGAUCGGGAUAACAGUGGGAAACUGCUGCUAAUACCGAAUAUAAUCUGAUCGUCACAUGGCGGACAGAUGAAAUGCAAUGUGCUGAAGGAUGGACUCGCGCUUCAUUAGCUAGUUGGUAAGGUAACGGCUUACCAAGGCGACGAUGAAUAGCCGGCCUGAGAGGGUGAACGGCCACACAGGAACUGAGACACGGUCCUGACUCCUACGGGGGGCAGCAGUCGGGGAUAUUGCACAAUGGAGGAAACUCUGAUGCAGCGACGCCGCGUGAAUGAUGAAGGCCUUCGGGUCGUAAAAUUCUGAUGUGAGAGACGAAGAAAGUGACGGUAUCUCACCAGCAAGCACCGGCUAACUACGUGCCAGCAGCCGCGGUAAUACGUAGGGUGCAAGCGUUGUCCGGAAUCACUGGGCGUAAAGGGAGCGUAGGUGGUUAUACAAGUAUUUAGUAAAACGGCAUGGGCUUAACCGAUGUA